RNAcentral lists this ribosomal RNA (324 nucleotides) under uncultured bacterium. RNAcentral describes it as "bacterial SSU rRNA". It matches the Rfam family "Bacterial small subunit ribosomal RNA", at positions 28 to 334 of the family's 1533-position model. The record is from RNAcentral.
GAUAAACGCUGGCGGCAUGCCUAACACAUGCAAGUCGAACGGAGCGCCUUGGAAGGAGACUUCGGUCAACGGAAGAGGAGGCUUAGUGGCGGACGGGGGAGUAACGCGUGAGGAACCUGCCUCAGAGAGGGGGAUAACACACCGAAAGGUGUGCUAAUACCGCAUAACAUAUGAGAGGGGCAUCCCUUUCAUAUCAAAGAUUUAUUGCUCUGAGAUGGCCUCGCGUCCAAUUAGCUAGUUGGUGAGGUAACGGCCCACCAAGGCGACGAUUGGUAGCCGGACUGAGAGGUUGAACGGCCACAUUGGGACUGAGACACGGCCCAG